This 724-nucleotide ribosomal RNA is filed under the name uncultured fungus. Its description in RNAcentral is "eukaryotic LSU rRNA". The stretch from base 303 to 456 matches the Rfam family "5.8S ribosomal RNA". Lineage: Eukaryota; Fungi. The record is from RNAcentral.
AGUAAAAGUCGUAACAAGGUUUCCGUAGGUGAACCUGCGGAAGGAUCAUUAUUGAAUAAAUCUGACGUUGGUUGUAGCUGGCUCUACCUGAGCAUGUGCACGCCCGUCACCUUUAUCUUUCCACCUGUGCACACACUGUAGAUCUGGAUACCUCUCGUCGAAAGGCGGAUGCGAGGCUUGCUGUGCCCCCUUCCCAAAGGGGUCGGCUUGCUUCGAAUUUCCGGGUCUAUGAACCCCUUUACAUACCCCAAACGAAUGUUAAGGAAUGUAAUCAUAAGGCCCUGGUGCCUAUAAACCUAUACAACUUUCAGCAACGGAUCUCUUGGCUCUCGCAUCGAUGAAGAACGCAGCGAAAUGCGAUAAGUAAUGUGAAUUGCAGAAUUCAGUGAAUCAUCGAAUCUUUGAACGCACCUUGCGCUCCUUGGUAUUCCGAGGAGCAUGCCUGUUUGAGUGUCAUUAAAUUCUCAACCUCACCAACUUUUGUUGUGUGAAGGCUUGGAUUUGGAGGCGUGUGCAGGUCCACACUUUUAGUGGUCUGCUCCUCUGAAAUGUAUUAGUGGGUUAGGCCCCCUAAUCUAUUGGUGUGAUAAUUAUCUACGCCGUGGAUCUGGGAAGCUACAUUAGACCUGCUUCUAACCGGUCCUCAUGGGACAACAUUUGACAAUUUUGACCUCAAAUCAGGUAAGACUACCCGCUGAACUUAAGCAUAUCAAUAAGCGGAGGA